CGAUACUCGACCAAAUACUGUGCAUGGUUAUCUGAAAUUCUAGACAAUAGUUCACAUCCCAGUGGCAGGUAAGAACCUUCUUUUUAAUUUAUCAAAUGGCGUCAAUAGACCAUAAAAUUAUCUUCAUUUAUAAUACUAAAGAUAUGUCAAUACAUGUUCUUACAUUUAGGCUCCUAAACCUGUUGAAUGAGUUCUAUAUACAAGAUUUAUAUUGUCCUUCUAUAAAUUAAGACUACACUUGCUAUUGAUGAGUCUAUAAUUGUCAACCUGGACAGUAACAACACACUAUCGUUUUAUCUCUCAAUGUGAGCAAGUAAGAUUUUUUUUCAGAGCUUUAUUCUUUUGUAUUAUUUUUCUAUUACAGAAGUUGAUGCUCCAUCUUGUUAUUCAUUUCCUGGGAUCAUUUCUCGAGGAAUGUACGGAUUUCUCGAAGUGACGCAAUGCUAUGAUCUUCAACCAUGAAAAUGAAACUGUCAGCGCUGAUGGCCUGCUCCUGUGAUCUCAUAGCAUUGUGUCAAGGAGCAGGUGGAGAGGGAGAAAGAGAAAGGGAGAAUGGAAGCCAAGUGAUAGACAAAGAGAGUGAAAGGUAUUUGGUUCAAAAUAUAUUUUUCUACUGUUAACCGAUAGCAUGGAUAUCACUAUUUAUGAUCAUGAUGUCCAUAAGAAAUCAUCAUGACAUGUCGAAUCCUCAACCACUCAGUUAGAUGUUGAUGGAUCUGCAUCACAGCUUCUGUUGAACUCUCAUGGUUGGAGAUACUGCAAGAAUUCUGAUUCGGCACGGCCCUCAUGGAGACAAUGGAGAUGGUGUUCAGCGGUGCGCUCAGCUAGAGUUCGCCGUACGUCCGACAUUUGCUGAUUCGGCAGGGCCCUCAUGGAAACAAAUUCAGGGCGCAGAGAAACUAAUGGAGCAACCAGGAGUCCAAUCAUUUUAAGGCAGAACAUUGAACAUAUCAGUGAUCGGACACUCGAGACAACUCUUAAUGAGUUCUAGCAACCAAAGACAGAAUAUUUGCGUAGGAUGCAACAAAGCUGCAUGUCAUGAGAUUAUUGAAUACGUUGAGUAAUUUGGAAUGGAAACAUUUUUGGUUAAAUAGGAUGCUCUUGAGAUUA
This is a non-coding RNA of Triticum urartu, 1110 nucleotides long. NCBI's taxonomy places the organism in Eukaryota, Viridiplantae, Streptophyta, Magnoliopsida, Poales, Poaceae. The record is from RefSeq and is a predicted model, not a curated record.